GAUGAACGCUGGCGGCGUGCCUAAUACAUGCCAGUCGAGCGAACGGACGAGAAGCUUGCUUUUCUGAUGUUAGCGGCGGACGGGUGAGUAACACGUGGAUAACCUACCUAUAAGACUGGGAUAACUUCGGGAAACCGGAGCUAAUACCGGAUAAUAUUUUGAACCGCAUGGUUCAAAAGUGAAAGACGGUCUUGCCGUCACUUAUAGAUGGAUUCGCGCUGCAUUAGCUAGUUGGUAAGGUAACGGCUUACCAAGGCAACGAUGCAUAGCCGACCUGAGAGGAUGAUCGGCCACACUGGAACUGAGACACGGUCCAGACUCCUACGGGAGGCAGCAGUAGGGAAUCUUCCGCAAUGGGCGAAAGCCUGACGGAGCAACGCCGCGUGAGUGAUGAAGGUCUUCGGGUCGUAAAACUCUGUUAUUAGGGAAGAACAUAUGUGUAAGUAACUGUGCACAUCUUGACGGUACCUAAUCAGAAAGCCACGGCUAACUACGUG
Molecule: ribosomal RNA, 497 nt
Filed under: uncultured bacterium
Lineage: Bacteria
Description: partial 16S ribosomal RNA
Rfam family: Bacterial small subunit ribosomal RNA
Source: RNAcentral